GGCCUCUGCUUCCCCAGUGUGCUGGCAGGCUGCCGCGAACCCGCGUGAGGGCUCGUGUGUGUGACUAACCCCACUGGGGGAGGUCACUGGCUCACGUGGCCAGCCGGCCUGCGGAGAGCCGAAAUGUGAACCUGGGCAUCUCUGCCUUCAAGGUCAUACUGUGCCCUUCAGCUACUGCAGCCCUCAGUGUCUGCUCUGGGCCUUGUUGGCAUCACCCACAGCAAAUGCUUUCGGACACAAUGAGAGGCUGUGCUGAGCAGCUGAGAUCGGUGCCCAGAGCUCUCAUUUACUGAAGGUGAGGCCAAAGCCCAGAGAGGGCAGGACUUUGUAGAGGCCACACAGCAAGUCAAUGGAAGAUUCAGGGUUACUACUAUCCUCUCCCCUUGGCAGAUGCUUCACCCCCACCAGCCAGGUCCCUCCCUUCCCCACCUCCCCAGCUCCAUUGGCCAGGGACGGCCCAGGCUGAGGAAUCUGGAUUUGACUCUGGCUUUGCCAUUGAUCAGCCCUGAUCUCCUCUGAGCCUCAGCAUCCUGUGGAAGGAGAACGUUCGUUUUUAUUUGUUAUGAAGUUGGGUAAGAAUAGCCAGGCCCAGGUAGGGAGAUGCCCGUGACGGAAGUGAGUUGGCCCACUUGGGUUUCCCGCCACAGGUCUCCCCUGGGGCUCAGUGUGUGGCUAACCCCAUGGACUCAGUGCCCAGGGCCCUUCUCUUGUCCCCACAGCCUACAGGAGUGUCCCGACCUGGUGCUGAGUGAGGAGGUGGUGGAGGGCAUCGCUGGGGACAUCGAGGCAGCCCUCUUUGACCUGACACAAGACACCAGUUGCCGCUACAAGACCAAGUACCGCAGCCUGCUGUUCAACCUGCGGGACCCCAGGAACCAGGACCUGUUUCUCAAAGUGGCUCACGGGGACGUCACCCCCCACAAACUGGUGCGGAUGAACUCCAUCCAGCUGGCCCCUCAGGAGCUGUCCCGCUGGCGGGACCAGGAGGAGAAACGGGGCCUAGAGAUCAUUGAACAGCAACAGAAGGAGCCUCGUGGGCUUCCAGCCUCCAAGUUGACCCACAAGGGCGAGGUGGAGAUCCCGAGGGACGUGGACCAGACGCUGACCCUGGAGGACCUGGUGGGACCCGUGGUGUCUAGAGAAUGCAGCCCCCUGGCCCUGCCCGCCCCCCUGGAGGACACCACGGAGCAGCACCAUCACCACUUCCUGGACCCCAACUGCCGCAUCUGCACAGACUGUGAGGCCUUGAGUGGGCUGCCAGGCUUCUCCAGAGCCACCAGAAACAGGGAAGACCAGGCCUCCCAGAGAGCUCCAAGCCCAGCUCCUGUGUCCUCUCCAGAGAUGUCCCAAACCAGGGACACCCCUGUUACAGAGCCCCAAGACAGUCUGUUUGUCCCUCCCUCUAGGCCACAGAUACCUCCUGGGCCCACAAAGGCCUUGCCCAGCCCCCCGCCCUGGGAGGGUGCUCUUGACAUGUUCUCCAUCAAGCGGUUCCGAGUGAAGGCCCAGCUGGUCUCAGGACACAGCUGUCGGCUGGCCCAGGCUCUGCCUGAGGUGAUCCGCUCAGCAAGCUGCAUCCUGCCCAACGUUGUCUGGGACCUUCUGGCCAGCGUCUGCCCAGCAGAGGCCAAGGACAUCUGUGUGGUCAGACUGUGUCCCCUCGGGGCUCGGGAUACCCAGAAUUGCCGCCUGCUGUACUCCUACCUCAACAACAAGCAGCGCCAUGGCCUGGCGGCUGUGGCACACGUGGAGGUGGUCCUGCUCCCGCUGCCCGCCUUCCAGCCCCUGCCCACCAGACUGCGCCCUCUGGGGGGCCCAGGUCUGGAGGCUACUCACUCAAGUCUCUUGCUGGCUGUGCUGCUCCCCAAGAAAGGACUUCCAGACCCAGCUAAAUCCAGCCCUGUGUGCAGGAAGGUUCGCAAGAUGGUCUCCUUCAACAGGAAAGUGGAGAUGCGGUGCUACCAGCAAGAGGAUGGGAGGCAAGAUGUGCCCCUGAGAGGCUCCCCUCCCCCAGGGGGUUCCCUGCAGCAGAGCCAGGGCAAGGGUAGCCCACCUCCAAGGGGAGCCUGUGCUUGGCAGGGGUUUCCCAGAGGCAGGGGGAGGCUGCUGGCAGAGCCUGAAACCUGGCAUGGUCCUGGGCGAGGGCAGAGGGCCCCAGCACCAGGAUGGUUCCAGUCCCAACAUCCCUUUUCAGUUAUACCAACUGUCCGUGGCUUUGGCCAUGGGCAGCACCUCCACAGGGCCUCCUGUCCCCACCAAGCCCUGCUCCAGCACCUUGAGUCCCUGGUUACUAUGACUCACCAGUUCCAAGCCUCAUUGUGGCCCCCAGGCCAGAACCCCCACCCUCCAUCCUCUGUAGCAUCUGCCCAGCCCCCUACAGCCCCAGGGAUUCUUGGCUUCCUCUGCCAGCCUACUGCAGUUCCAGAACCCCCUGGCCCAGGCCCUGACCCCUCUUUGGGCCCUAUAGAUGGAUCUUGAUGAAUCAACAGGGAUCUUGAUUCCCUUACUCCAGACAGAGACAGGGUGGAGGAAGAAGAGGGUCAGCUCUCCCCACCUGUCCUGUUUGUUUCCUGUCCUGCAAUCUGUUUGGUGUUGGAUUUUGGUUCAAUAAAGAAUUUGGAAAAGUUAGUUUUGCAUCUGCUGACUGGUCAGGAGAGACCCUAGUUCCAACCAGAUGUGGUUUGGUGUGUCUGGAUUUUUGUGUAUAGAUUUUCAGCUUUGCUGACUGCUGGUCUGGAAUUUGGAACCAUCACUUUGCCCCAGGGAAAAGCUGUUGCCCUGGGUAGUUUCUAGAAGCAUUCUGCAAGUAUUCUGAUUAGGGGGAAGAACAGGCAGUGGGAAAAGGCAGGACUGGGGUGGGGGGAGAGAAGUGGGCAGUGGCUUUUGAAGGUGCACAGACAUGGAAAUUGCUAAGGAGCAAAAGGAGAGCAAAUUUCAAUGUUUUUUUAAUAAAGCUUCUGAGUGACCAAGAUUUCUUCCUUUGGAUAGAUGAGGGGUACCACAAAGUGCCACCAUAUUCCUGUGUGUAUGUAUCUUUGAGUGUCCCUGUGCAUGCAUGUGUGUCCUUAUGCACGUCCAUAUGUCUGAUUGCCUAGCAUUGGGCGGUGCUACCUUGCCUUGGCCCUGCAAUGAGCUCGUCACAGCAGCUCUAAUGAUAAAGUGUCUCCGUGUGUGUAACUUGAGAGAAUUGAGUCUGAAGACUGACCUCAGAACCAGCUGCCCUGGCUAGCCAGCCCACUGUGGGGGGGCUGGCCAAGGGGAGAGAAUUCUGCAGAACCCCCCCCCCUUCGCUCCAGAGACUAAAGCUCGAGAUAUGACAACUAAACACCAGGAAGAACUUCCAGAUGAGAGGACAGACUGGAUUCCAGGCACAGGAUGAGGAUUAUUGGUUUGCCUGUUUUUCCUUCUUGGAGGCUAGAGGCCAGGUUGGUGCAACAUGGACCCUGUCCCCUCACCACUUACAUCCUUACAGGGACACCAGUGUUUCCAAAAAUCUUUCAUUCUUAACCCAAAGACACUGGAGCCAGAAGCUGCUGCAGCGGUGACCGCUGAGGUGGGAGGCUUGAAGACUGAGCAGAAGAGAUGGCGGCUGAGAAGGUACCCUCUGGGACUGAGAUGUCUGGGAUGGAGCAGGGCCACAGGGAAGGUGGAGGGCAGAAACAUUGGAGAAGGCUUGAGCCUCUACCAGAGAGGACUGGGGAACCCUGGAGCCACUCCUUUACCCUUUCUGGGUCUCAGUUUCCCCAUGAUGACAAUUGGGACUCCUUUGCUACAACAGUCUGGAGGGGAGAAGUCAACUCAGUGUGCAGAAUUCACUUGCUGAGGAGCAGCUGUGCGGCAGGGCAGUGGAAGAAGGGAGUUCCCUAUUCUUGGGGCUGUGCAAGCAGAAGUGUGGCCGGGAUGGGACAGCAGAACUUCCUCCUGGAAGCUCUUACUCUUGUGUAGACUCCAGCUGCUCCAGAUACCUCCUCAAAGGCUGGGAAGUGCUUCUUGGAUCUAACUUCAACUCCUCUUGCUCUGCUGGAUGCUUCUUGCUCUCUUUUCUCCCAGUGUCUCCGUAACUUUUAAUACCUUGAUCGCUAGGGUCACAUGGAAAAAGCAGAAGAGGUGUUAAAGGGCAAAAAACAGUUCCACUCUGUGUUGACGUUAGUUCUCAAUUAGGUUCAGAUAAUUAAAAUAAAUGAGCUUGGCUCCUG
Non-coding RNA from Ictidomys tridecemlineatus (thirteen-lined ground squirrel), 4196 nucleotides. NCBI's taxonomy places the organism in Eukaryota, Metazoa, Chordata, Mammalia, Rodentia, Sciuridae. The record is from RefSeq and is a predicted model, not a curated record.